This 159-nucleotide non-coding RNA is filed under the name Alphaproteobacteria bacterium 33-17. RNAcentral describes it as "6S RNA". It matches the Rfam family "6S / SsrS RNA". From Rfam's summary of the family: E. coli 6S RNA was the first non coding RNA to be sequenced, but its function was unknown until recently. It consists of 184 nucleotides that fold into an extended hairpin structure with a large single-stranded internal bulge. Lineage: Bacteria; Pseudomonadati; Pseudomonadota; Alphaproteobacteria. RNAcentral also lists the same sequence under 1 other name. The record is from RNAcentral.
UUGGGGCUGCUUGGUAGGUUGUGUAAGUAUUUCCCGAGACCUAUGAUUUUUUUAUGGGAGCUGUCCCUUGUAGAUGCUGUUGGCACUACAAUAUGGCACCCACCUCAAACAAAAAGGUUUGUUGAGGAUCUUAUUAAUAACCGCCGAAGUGGUUCCGCU